GUGCCAGCAGCCGCGGUAAGACAGAGGUGGCAAGCGUUGUUCGGAAUUACUGGGCUUAAAGGGCGCGUAGGUGGUGAUAUAAGUCCGAGGUGGAAGACUGGGGCUUAACCUCAGAAUUGCCUUGGAUACUGUAUGACUUGAGUCAGCGAGGGGAUGGCGGAAUUCCAGGUGUAGCGGUGAAAUGCGUAGAUAUCUGGAGGAAGGCCGGUGGCGAAGGCGGCCAUCUGGCGCUGAACUGACACUGAGGCGCGAAAGCGUGGGGAGCAAACAGGAUUAGAAACCCGCGUAGUCC
Molecule: ribosomal RNA, 292 nt
Filed under: uncultured bacterium
Lineage: Bacteria
Description: partial 16S ribosomal RNA
Rfam family: Bacterial small subunit ribosomal RNA
Source: RNAcentral